This is a long non-coding RNA of Stegostoma tigrinum, 473 nucleotides long. RefSeq lists it as uncharacterized. NCBI's taxonomy places the organism in Eukaryota, Metazoa, Chordata, Chondrichthyes, Orectolobiformes, Stegostomatidae. The record is from RefSeq and is a predicted model, not a curated record. The transcript is spliced from 3 exons.
ACCAGCCCUCAGCCCUUUUAGGCAUUAAUUACUUUGCUAUCCAACCGAUCUGUUUUUCCUAUUAUUUGCAUUUCGCAGCAGGGAUGUUUUUGCAAGACUAAUGCAGCUGCGAGUAGCUAUGAAUGCAUUUCUCACUGUAAGGGCGAAAUAGAUAGGAAUCACUGAAACGUUGCUGAGCAAGAUGAUUACUUUUUGUGACGAUGUGAUGGAAUAAUGUCACCUUUUGCAGAUGAAUAAAAUGUUUGAAAUAUUCAAACAAUAUGCCAUUACUGGAUAGUUUCAUACUUUCCAGCCCUGUUCAUGGAGUUAGAGGUAACUGGCUUAGAAGACGUUACUGGAGGAGCCUUGAUGAGUUACUGCAGUGUAUACUGUAGCAUCUAUAGUAUACUGCUAUUCACCGUGAACCAGUGGUGAAAAAAGUAAUUAUUGAUGGUGGUGGAUGAGUGCCAAUGAAGUGGACUGCUUUGAGCUUC